RNAcentral lists this ribosomal RNA (253 nucleotides) under uncultured bacterium. RNAcentral's name for it is "partial 16S ribosomal RNA". It matches the Rfam family "Bacterial small subunit ribosomal RNA", at positions 524 to 776 of the family's 1533-position model. The record is from RNAcentral.
UACGUAGGGUGCAAGCGUUGUCCGGAAUUAUUGGGCGUAAAGAGCUUGUAGGCGGUUUGUCGCGUCUGCUGUGAAAUUUCGGGGCUCAACCCCGAACUUGCAGUGGGUACGGGCAGACUAGAGUGUGGUAGGGGAGACUGGAAUUCCUGGUGUAGCGGUGAAAUGCGCAGAUAUCAGGAGGAACACCGAUGGCGAAGGCAGGUCUCUGGGCCACUACUGACGCUGAGCAGCGAAAGCGUGGGGAGCAAACAGG